This 553-nucleotide ribosomal RNA is filed under the name uncultured Stagonospora. RNAcentral describes it as "eukaryotic LSU rRNA". The stretch from base 183 to 336 matches the Rfam family "5.8S ribosomal RNA". The record is from RNAcentral. Lineage: Eukaryota; Fungi; Ascomycota; Dothideomycetes; Pleosporales; Pleosporaceae.
UUGCUACUGGUCGGGAGGUGCUGUAACUCCGCAUAGUAUUCAUUUACUGAUGAGCGGCCGGCCCUCUGUCUGUACCCUUGUCUUUUGCGCACUCAUGUUUCCUCGGCGGGCUUGCCCGCCGAUUGGACAAAACUAUAACCUUUUUAAUUUUCAAUCAGCGUCUGAAAAAACUUAAUAAUUACAACUUUCAACAACGGAUCUCUUGGUUCUGGCAUCGAUGAAGAACGCAGCGAAAUGCGAUAAGUAGUGUGAAUUGCAGAAUUCAGUGAAUCAUCGAAUCUUUGAACGCACAUUGCGCCCCUUGGUAUUCCAUGGGGCAUGCCUGUUCGAGCGUCAUUUGUACCCUCAAGCUCUGCUUGGUGUUGGGUGUUUGUCCUCUCCUCUGCGUUUGGACUCGCCUUAAAGCAAUUGGCAGCCAGUGUUUUGGUAUUGAAGCGCAGCACAUUUUGCGAUUCUAGCCGAUAAUACUUGCGUCCAUAAGCCUUUUUUAACUUUUGACCUCGGAUCAGGUAGGGAUACCCGCUGAACUUAAGCAUAUCAAUAAGCGGAGGAA